Molecule: non-coding RNA, 1433 nt
Organism: Agelaius phoeniceus (red-winged blackbird)
Lineage: Eukaryota; Metazoa; Chordata; Aves; Passeriformes; Icteridae
Source: RefSeq, a predicted model, not a curated record
GGCCCUUCAGGGCCGUGCGCUCGUACCCCUGCCCCCAGGACUGCCCCUCAUUGGGGGCUGCUCACCUGAGCGGGCCCCUCAGGUGCCAUUCCAAAUGCAGCCGCUCCCGGUGCCGCUCCCUGGGCAAGCGGUUGGACGGGAUGGGCUCCGGAGGUGCCUGCCGUGCUGAACCCCUGGGGGAUUCUGUGAGCAGAGCAGCCCGGAACCCCCGCGGAAACCAACACAGCGUUCCGAGCUACAGGGAGGGCCCGUGGAGGCCCCAGCGAGGAUGAAGGGUCUGGGGUUUCUCUCUCAGGAGGACUCUGGAGGAACUGCUCAAUCCCUACAAAUAUCUCAGGAGAAGGGACUCUGGAGGAGCUGCUCAAUCCCUACAAAUAUCUCAGGAGAAGGGACUCUGGAGUCCCUGGGCCUGAGAGAGGCUCCUCAGUCCGUACCAAUAUCUCCAAGGAGUGGCAGAAAAUGUUCCCGGACUCUUUGUAGCAGUGCCCAGCAAUCGGGCAAGGAGAAAUGGCCAUAAACGAAAACACAAAAAAUCCCACCUGAACCUGAGGAAGAAUUUUCCAUCAAGGGUGGCAGAUGACUAGAACAGCUGCCCAGGGACAUCGGGCAGUCUGUGUCUCUGGAGACAUUUCAAACCCACCUGGACACAUUCCUGUGCCACCUGCCCCAGGAAAUGUACAGGCUCUUCUCAAGAGAGUUCUCCGUGCUGAGCCACCCCAGCAGCACCUUCACAAAGCACCGAGCCCCCCUCGGUGUAAAGCUGUUUCUCUUCAGAGCAAGAGGAGUUUGGCUGUGCAAACGUGAACCGGCAGGUCUGGCUCUGGGUCCCGCGCUGAGUUUGUGAACGCAAGGUACUGAGAGUCCUUUGCCACAUGGUGGCAGCUUUUAGGUGAAAAAAGAGAGAUUCCAGCCCAGGGCUGCGAGCUGCGCUCUGGGAACGGCAAACCCGGCGGGCAGAGCAGCUGGAGCUGGGGGAGGAUCCCAGCUGCAGAAGGGCUGGAUGUCCCUGCACGCACACAGGUUCCUGCAAAAGCCCCAGGCUCUGGGCAGCAUCACCCCAAACCCGAGCUCUGCCAGACACAGCUGGCACAGCCCUCGCUGCCCUGCGUCAUCCUUGGCUUCCCAACUCGAGUGUGUGCCCGAGCCAAGGGCUAGAAUAACUGUCAGACAACAUUCAGCUUUCUGUAAUUUAAUGCUCCUUUAUCCCAAUUUGUUCUCCUGGAAGAAAACAAAAGCUUGCUGGUUUUAUGACGUAAACCCACAGGUUCUGGGAGUGUAAUUUCAGCCCAAAUGGCCACUUGAACUAGACAAAUUUCCACUGAAUACAGACUGCAAUGUGUUGCAAACCAAAGUGCGUUUUGUUCCCUCAGAAAGUUAAUUUUGUUACAAAAAAGUCUUUAUACACUAAAUAAAGAAGUUCCCAGAGAAAGACA